RNAcentral lists this long non-coding RNA (2221 nucleotides) under Triticum aestivum (bread wheat). Its description in RNAcentral is "long non-coding RNA (TAES_LNC005517)". The record is from RNAcentral. Lineage: Eukaryota; Viridiplantae; Streptophyta; Magnoliopsida; Poales; Poaceae.
CCCGCUCUAGGACGGCGCAUUUACUCUUUUUCUGUUCAAACCCUCAAAACAUGUGCGUGACGUGGUUUGGAUCGCACUCCUCCCGGGUAGGUAGGGAACGCACUAACCAAGGGCGUGUUUGGUUUCAUGGCUUGCACCUGGCUCGUACUUGCGAUGCAAUUUUCUCGAUGUUUGGUACCCUGCAUGCCUUCCUGGGCCAGGCCCGACGGAUGCAAAGGAGCCUCCCAGCCAGGCUGAGGCGGACGCAAGAAUCCGCCGUAUCUCCGAGCCAGGCCCGUGCCUGCAUGCGCACCUCGUGUUUCUCCUUUUCCCCUUCCUCUCUCUCACGCGUCAGAUUGGAUCGAGCAUCCAAUUCACUUCCGCCCCCGCUGUCUGAGCUCCGUCGGCCAUUAACAGUCCGAACUCCCCUUCCACCAUAGGUCCGUGCUCCCUCACCGGCGCUCCUCCACGCCAACAUUGGGGGCCACGCCGACCGCCACCAAUCGAGAGGAAGAUGGGGGAGGGGAGCACCUGGGCCACGCCGGCCGCCGCCAACCGUGAGCUGCAACCGGCGCUGCCACCAAUCCAGGUGCAGUCGCAUCUCCGCCGCCGAAAUCUCCUCCUGGCAGGCCAUCUCAACGUCCUCACCUGUUCAUCUGGUAGUUCUCAGACACGGCCAUCUACUGCAUCUCAGUAGAAUGUGCAAUAUUUUUUUAGAUGAACUAGAAUGUGCCAGGUUGGUGGAAAUAUUUUGAUUUGUUUGUGAAAUUCCCGACGAAUAAUUGACACUUGAGCUUUUGGUUCAAUUUCAGUUCAAAUUUGUUUUACCUGUUCCAUGGAAUGGUCCAAAUCCAAUUGAAAAUUUUGAAUGGUUGAAAUUGGAAGAGAAGAGUUUACAUAAUUAAGCCCAAUUCAGCCUACCAAACAACAUUUGUCAUGUAUAGCAUCCCUCGUGCAUCCAUAUCAUGCAGCCAACCAAACCCACAGCUCACUCCAUCUUUGCAUCCAAUCAAGCAGGCCAGUCUCACCCAGGAUGCCGAUGCAGGCUAGAGCCACCCAGGCAACCGAAUACGCCCCAAGUGUGCCACCAGACCCGAUGUGCUAGGUUCCUUUUUUUAUUUCUUAAACUGCAAACCUGAAAGAACACAGUUGUUUCCUGUUUGGUUUUCUUUGUCUCUUCUUUUUCUUUUCCUAUUUUUGUUUUCUUAAACGGUGAACUUCUUUAAAUUUGUAAAACAACAAAAAUUGAUGAUUUUUUUUUAAAAAUUGUGAACCUUUUAUUGAAAUUGAUGAACUUGUUUUCAAAAUUGAUGUACUUUAUCUAAAUUUCUGUUAACUUUUUUUAAAAAAAAAUCAAUGAUUCUUGUUUAAAAUUGAUGCAAAAUUUCAAAAUUGUGAACUUUUUUCACAAUUGAUGAACCUUUUUGCAAAUCUAUAAAAAAUCAAAAUCGAUGAAUAUUUUUCAUUUAUGGGAAGGUUUCAAAGAAUUGAUGAAGUUUGUUUCUAAAUUCAUGGAUUUUUUUCAAGUUUGUGAACUUUUCUUCAAAGAUAAUGUGUUUUCUUCAGUGUUGCAUAUUUUUUUGGCAUUUUUUAUGAACUUUUUAGAUUCGCAAUAUUUUUCAAAAUUCGCUUGCUUUUUCUCAAAGGGAUGAACUUUUUUACAAAAUCUACAAACCUAUUUUUAUUUCAGAUUUUUUUCAUUUUUUUUAAAACAGUUGGUUUUUUCUUCCAGGCCAAUAGCACAAAAGACAAAAGAAACUAGCGAGCGGCCCAGCGAACAAAGCUUGCGACAGAGCAACUGGAGCGAGUGAGGGGCAUGCAAGCGAAUUCACGUGGCUGGUCCGCAGCCCGCUUGGGCGCGCGAGAGUGCCAGCUGCGCAAAAUAGGAGGGGAGAUAUACAGUAAAGCAGGGCUCAUUGACGACAUAUGGAGCGAUUAUACAUGAGAUAAUAGAACACUCUACUAGUUUUACUGCUUGUAACAUAGUCCAUGAAUUUAGGAGGUAGAACACCCAUGCUCACAAUCUCGCUAAGCAUACAUUAUCACUUGGUUUUGGCCGUCAUGUUUGGUUUGGGCAACCUGAUGACUUACUCUUUAUACCUAUAAACGUUAUGAUUUGAAUAAAGCUUGCCAAGUUUGUCUAAAAGAACUGCGCGAAAUAGGAGGCUAGAUAUACAGUCUUUUUUGCAUCAAAAUGCAUAUAACGCGGGGCAGGAGACGUGAGUGCCACUUACGUUUUUUU